RNAcentral lists this ribosomal RNA (225 nucleotides) under uncultured bacterium. RNAcentral's name for it is "partial 16S ribosomal RNA". It matches the Rfam family "Bacterial small subunit ribosomal RNA", at positions 109 to 334 of the family's 1533-position model. The record is from RNAcentral.
CGUAACACGUAUGUAACCUACCUUUGUCAGGGGGAUAGCCUCUCGAAAGAGAGAUUAAGCCCGCAUAACAUUACACCAUGGCAUCAUGAAGUAAUCAAAUAUUUAUAGGACAAAGAUGGGCAUGCGGAACAUUAGCUAGUUGGUAAGGUAACGGCUUACCAAGGCUACGAUGUUUAGGGGAUCUGAGAGGAUGGCCCCCCACACUGGUACUGAGACACGGACCAG